RNAcentral lists this unclassified non-coding RNA (163 nucleotides) under uncultured fungus. RNAcentral describes it as "sequence contains ITS1, 5.8S rRNA gene". The record is from RNAcentral. Lineage: Eukaryota; Fungi.
CUGAGUUGCGCUCCUUUUAGGGGCCCUCUCCACCCUGUGCGAACUACAUCUGUUGCUUUGGCGGGCCGUCGGUCCUGCCGCCGCUGGCUCCAGCUAGCGAGCGCCCGCCAAAGGCCUUUUAAAAUCUUUUUAUUUUGACGUCUGAGCGAGAAAAAAAUGCGAA